RNAcentral lists this ribosomal RNA (253 nucleotides) under uncultured bacterium. RNAcentral describes it as "partial 16S ribosomal RNA". It matches the Rfam family "Bacterial small subunit ribosomal RNA", at positions 524 to 776 of the family's 1533-position model. The record is from RNAcentral.
GACGAAGGGGGCUAGCGUUGUUCGGAAUUACUGGGCGUAAAGCGAGUGUAGGUGGUUGUCAUAGUCAGGUGUGAAAGCCUUGAGCUCAACUCAAGAAAUGCACUUGAAACUGUUCGGCUCGAGUCCGGGAGAGGGUAGUGGAAUUCCCAGUGUAGCGGUGAAAUGCGUAGAUAUUGGGAGGAACACCGGUGGCGAAGGCGGCUACCUGGACCGGUACUGACGCUGAGGCGCGAAAGCUAGGGUAGCAAACAGG